GGGGGGGGGGGGGGGGGGGGGGGGGGGGGGGGGGGGGGGGGGGGGGGGGGGGGGGGGGGGGGGGGCUGGAGGGGCGAGCGGGGGAGUGAGGCGUGGGGAACCUGCCCGUGACUUUGGGAGAACGUCAGGAAACUGGGGCUAAUACCGGAUAGGAGCUCCUGCUGCAUGGUGGGGGGUGGAAAGGUUCGGCGGUUGGGGAUGGACUCGCGGCUUAUCAGCUUGUUGGUGGGGUAGUGGCUUACCAAGGCUUUGACGGGUAGCCGGCCUGAGAGGGUGACCGGCCACAUUGGGACUGAGAUACGGCCCAGACUCCUACGGGAGGCAGCAGUGGGGAAUAUUGCACAAUGGGCGGAAGCCUGAUGCAGCAACGCCGCGUGCGGGAUGACGGCCUUCGGGUUGUAAACCGCUUUCGCCUGUGACGAAGCGUGAGUGACGGUAAUGGGUAAAGAAGCACCGGCUAACUACGUG
Molecule: ribosomal RNA, 468 nt
Filed under: uncultured bacterium
Lineage: Bacteria
Description: partial 16S ribosomal RNA
Rfam family: Bacterial small subunit ribosomal RNA (bases 58-468)
Source: RNAcentral